RNAcentral lists this unclassified non-coding RNA (216 nucleotides) under Hevea brasiliensis (rubber tree). Lineage: Eukaryota; Viridiplantae; Streptophyta; Magnoliopsida; Malpighiales; Euphorbiaceae. The record is from RNAcentral.
AUGUACAGAUCCUCUAUUGGUGAAGCAAACAUAUAUCCAGAAACCCAGAAAAGCGAUAUACGCAAUGGAGUAGAAGAAGUAAAGCGAAGGUAGCUGAGUUAAGCCAGCAGAGAGGUAAUCCUUAGAGCCAUCGCGCUCGAGAUUGUAAACCUCCGUUCGGACGUUCAUGGAAACGCUUGUCUCCGGAGCGCAAUUGGCGAAGAAAAGAGAGUAUUC